GUCCCUGUAGCACAAUGGAUAGCUCGUUGGACUUCUAAUCCAAAGGUCAUGGGUUUGAAUCCUAUCUGGGAUG
RNAcentral lists this transfer RNA (73 nucleotides) under Trichonephila inaurata madagascariensis. It matches the Rfam family "tRNA". From Rfam's summary of the family: Transfer RNA (tRNA) molecules are approximately 80 nucleotides in length. Their secondary structure includes four short double-helical elements and three loops (D, anti-codon, and T loops). Further hydrogen bonds mediate the characteristic L-shaped molecular structure. tRNAs have two regions of fundamental functional importance: the anti-codon, which is responsible for specific mRNA codon recognition, and the 3' end, to which the tRNAs corresponding amino acid is attached (by aminoacyl-tRNA synthetases). tRNAs cope with the degeneracy of the genetic code in two manners: having more than one tRNA (with a specific anti-codon) for a particular amino acid; and 'wobble' base-pairing, i.e. permitting non-standard base-pairing at the 3rd anti-codon position. Lineage: Eukaryota; Metazoa; Arthropoda; Arachnida; Araneae; Nephilidae. The record is from Rfam by way of RNAcentral.